AGUGGGGGAUAACGUAGCGAAAGUUACGCUAAUACCGCAUAUGCCCUGAGGGGGAAAGGUGGGGAUCGCAAGACCUAUCGCUUUCGGAGUGGCCGAUAUCAGAUUAGCUAGUUGGUGAGGUAAAGGCUCACCAAGGCGACGAUCUGUAGCKGGUCUGAGAGGABGABCVGCCACACUGGGACUGAGACACGGCCCAGACUCCUACGGGAGGCAGCAGUGGGGAAUUUUGGACAAUGGGGGCAACCCUGAUCCAGCCAUGCCGCGUGAGUGAAGAAGGCCUUCGGGUUGUAAAGCUCUUUCAGCCGGAAAGAAAUCGUGCAGGCUAAUAUCCUGCGUGGAUGACGGUACCGGAAGAAGAAGCACCGGCUAACUACGUGCCAGCAGCCGCGGUAAUACGUAGGGUGCGAGCGUUAAUCGGAAUUACUGGGCGUAAAGCGUGCGCAGGCGGUUUUGUAAGACAGGUGUGAAAUCCCCGGGCUUAACCUGGGAACUGCAUUUGUGACUGCAAGGCUAGAGUAUGGCAGAGGGGGGUAGAAUUCCA
RNAcentral lists this ribosomal RNA (541 nucleotides) under uncultured Gallionellaceae bacterium. RNAcentral's name for it is "bacterial SSU rRNA". It matches the Rfam family "Bacterial small subunit ribosomal RNA", at positions 135 to 671 of the family's 1533-position model. Lineage: Bacteria; Pseudomonadati; Pseudomonadota; Betaproteobacteria; Nitrosomonadales; Gallionellaceae. The record is from RNAcentral.